RNAcentral lists this long non-coding RNA (315 nucleotides) under Pan troglodytes (chimpanzee). Its description in RNAcentral is "long non-coding RNA NONPTRT008929". The record is from RNAcentral. Lineage: Eukaryota; Metazoa; Chordata; Mammalia; Primates; Hominidae.
UAUUGUUCAAGAUUCAGCACUUUUGGAAGCCAUUGGUUGCCAGAUGGAGAUGGGUGGUGGAGAAAAUAACCUGAAGAGUCAUAGUCGCACCAAUAGUGGUAUUAGUUCAGCAAGUGGUGGAAGCACGGAGCCCACGACUCCCGAUAGUGAGAGACCUGCUCAAGCUCUCUUAAGAGAUUAUGAUUCAGCUGCUGGGCUCCUGAUUCGCAGCAUUCAUCUCGUCACCCAAAGACUCAACUCCCAGUGGCGCCAAGACAUGAGCAUAUCACUGGCAGCUCUAGAGCUCCUCUCUGGCCUUGCAAAGGUGAGGAAGAC